AGUUAAUUAGCUUUUAAAUAAAGUUUAUGUCUUGAAAACAUAAGAAAAGAAGCUUAAACCUUCUAUUAACUU
This 72-nucleotide transfer RNA is filed under the name Oedipoda caerulescens. RNAcentral's name for it is "tRNA-Ser". It matches the Rfam family "tRNA". From Rfam's summary of the family: Transfer RNA (tRNA) molecules are approximately 80 nucleotides in length. Their secondary structure includes four short double-helical elements and three loops (D, anti-codon, and T loops). Lineage: Eukaryota; Metazoa; Arthropoda; Insecta; Orthoptera; Acrididae. The record is from RNAcentral.